This 3540-nucleotide long non-coding RNA is filed under the name Salvia miltiorrhiza (redroot sage). Its description in RNAcentral is "long non-coding RNA (SMIL_LNC005815)". The record is from RNAcentral. Lineage: Eukaryota; Viridiplantae; Streptophyta; Magnoliopsida; Lamiales; Lamiaceae.
UAUAUCAGCUAUUGGCUGUUCAUUAAUAAUGCCAAAACAAGCUUAAAACAAUGUCAACUCAAAACACAGAGAGAUCAUUGACCAUUCCUGAGAAGCAAGAAUUGGAAAGCCCCCAAAACAGGAUUUCACUGGACAAGCAUUCCAAGCAGUAAAUAACAAUAAUAUCUCUCGAUACACAUGUAACCAACUGCACUUCAAUCUACUCACUCGAUCCUCAUGAACAUUAGCAAAUCGCAAACAAAAAGCCAGAGAGGGUGGCUUUAUCAACAGCUAACAUUUGAUUGGCAAUAAACGAGCAAGGCUUAUGUGGUUGUUUCAUGAAAGAUUGGUUACAGACAUACUACUCCCUCCGUCCCACUAUAAGUGGCUCAAAACUUUUCGGCACGGGAAUUAUGGAGGUGUAAAUUGGUUAAAAGUGGUGGGGCCUACAUUUUUUAAGGGUUAAAAUUUUCCAUUUAUGAAAAUAGGCCACUUAUAGUGGAACGGCCCAAAAUAGAAUACAGACCACUUUUAGUGGGACGGGGUGAAAACAAAAAUAACUAUAUUCAAUUGCCUUAAGAAAGCCUAGCAGUUCAAGUUUAUCGUCUUAGUUCAAAUUUGCUCACUCUUACAGUCAUACUGAAGACAAUUUGCAACAUUAGGGUAGAUAACAAAAUGAACAGCCAUGGCUCACAUGAUGUGAGACUACAUGUCUCACAUGAUAACAAAAUGAACAGCCAAAAAGAACAUUUGAAAUAUGGUCAAAAGCCCAAAACAAGUUUAAGUGGAGAAAAUAAAUCAGCAAAAUACUGAAGAUGGACUCUUAUUUCCAAACAGCAGAUGGAAAAGGGCCUUUCCUGGGCCGAUUAACUAGUUGAAUUGCAAACAAGCCAGAACAUAAAUUUUUAGAAUUGACUGGUCCACAUAUUAUUCUGAUAGGACAUGCCACUCAAAAAUCAUAGAAAAUCAACAAUGCCAACCAUUUCAAAUAAUUGAAGCCUGAGCAUUAAAAAUAAACAAAUAUGCAAGUAAAAAUUUAGAUUUGUAGCUAAAGCAUCCAACAGAAACAUGACGUCAUCAGACAUAUAGUAAAUUAGUCUAUGUCUAUUCAAGCGAACACAAGCUUUACUAAAUAACAAAACACCACUCCUCAAAAUUACUGACGGAGCAUCCUGGACCUCAAAUCGGUAUCAUAUACUGGACACUAAUUACACAAACAUUUGUCAAAGCAUUGGAAACUUAUUACAGUCAAACAUUUGUCAAAGCAUUUAAAAGUCCAACAAUUUUCCUUUUUUGAGGGGUUUGGUGUGUGUGGGGGGGGGGGGGUCAAAGCCAAGAAGUCUAACCAGCAUCUACUACUAAAAGAAAUACAAGGUGUUAAACAACUCAUUAUAAAAACAAGCAGCAAAAAAUUCUUUCAUACAUGAGACAUCUGGAGGGGCAUGCAAGCUCCUCAUGAAAAUAUAGACUAGUCUAGUACUCGGCUUUUGAUCACCUAUAUCCACACUCUACUGAAAUUUUGCAGAAAGGAGGUCUAAACUCACUUAAAAUUAUGAGCAAUCACAGAAGAUCACAUCAUAAGUCGUAGGUGGAGUGAAGAAGAAGAAGCCAUAUAACACAGCAAAUCAAAAUCAUGAAGCCAUUGCCUGCAAAUUCACCAGAACCACUAAGGCUAGCACCAACAAGCUGGUCAUAAACCUGAAUCAAUAUUCAUUCACAACUCAAUAUGUCAUUCCACACACAACCAACAAAAAUGAUUCAGAAUAAGAGAAUAUGCAACCAAAAAUAAACAGUUAAACAAUCAUUGCUAGGUGGACAGCAGAAGAAAGGAAAAAUUGUAAGCAAACUGGCUGCUUUUUCAGAAGAAGAGCAGCGCGAGUUCCAUAAUUGAAAGGCUAAAUGUGUAAAAGAAACAUAAAAAGAAUAAAUCCAAGCACAAAAAGAUACAAUGACAUGUAAAAUUACAUGAAGCAAUGUCUCAGGCAUGGUUAAUUGCUAGAAAUCAAGCAAUACAAAUCAGUGUCAACAGUCAAAAGAUGAAGGACAUAGAAAUUUAAUACAAUGAAAGAUGUUCGUAAAUGAACUCUCAAAGAAGACAAUUACUUUAAGCAAAUUAUCUGCAUAGCAGAGACAACAAGGGUAUAUAUGCAUACACAAAACAUGUAAAUGGUUUCCAUAUACAAAACAUGCAUCACCAACUGGCAAGACUUCAUGAGGAUAACAAGGAAAAGAGUCUUCUAAACAUGCAAAACCACUCACAAUGAAGAAAUCAAGUCACAAGCAUUAGAAGGGAAACUGAGAAGCCAAUUAGUUCAUCUUUACAGCAUAAUGUCAUCAGUGAUUAACAGCAACAUAUCAAAGGACCACACAACAAAUGUGCACAGCACUGCACAUUAAUACUAGGAACUGUAAAAACACACUCAUAUAAAAAGAAGCCGUACCCAGAAACAACGAGAAAAUUAAAAAUCUACACCAACAAGCAAUCAAUUCAAUGAAAGCAUGAGUAAAUCAGUAGCUCAAAGACAAAACAAGUGCACCAGUGAAACAUUAUGCAUCAACGAUUGUUUGUCAUGGAUCAACAUGCUGCCAGAUCAGGUCAAUAAGCCAAAUGAAAGCAAGAGUCUCAAGGUAGGAAAUUCAGCAAUGCAAACAAAAAACCCAAACGUUAUUCAUACUUUUAUGCGACUAUAUCAACAUUGGUCCAUAAAUAAUGAAUUCCUAAUAUCCAAUGCCAUGAAUGCUUACCUCCUCCACUCUAGUUUUAUUGAAAUCAUCCACACUUGUGAAGGAAAAUGCUAUGAUGAAUAACAUAUGAUAAAUUAACUAAUAUAUUAUAAAUUACAAACUGAUGGAAGGACAGCAACCCACACAUAAGAACUGCCUUAUCUUUUACCCCAGUCCCUAAUUUUGAUGCAACACAUAAGAAUUUGUACACAUAGAAUCAACUAAUAAGUAAUAACUCAUAAUAGUAACUGUAAGUAAUCACGAGUGAUAGCAAACAUAUGGUGCAAAUAAAGCUCAUACCAGGAACAACAACUCAAAGGUGGAAUUCGUUUUAUGAAAAAUGGCAAGUUGGAAUUCGUUUUAUGAAAAAUGGCAAGUCAAUUGCAACUUGCAAGUGUGCCUAGUAGUUGGUCACCAGUCUCCCAAAUAAUAACAUAGAGUUAAUCUCUUUUCCACAAAUCAAGAUGUUCAGAAAGAAAUCCAUAAUAUCAAUAGCUAAAAGCAAACACAUCUUCACGAAACACAGCAUUUAGAAGAUAACAACACAAAAAGGCAACCAUAUGAUGCACACAAACUCCAGAUCUCCAUAUCACAUACAAAAGUCAUACCAACCCAAGCUAUUAAAACAAAAGGGAUGAAAAGCAAAAAAUGUCUAAACACAAAGAAUUGCAUGUAAAUGAUGACAGAGCCAAUAACCAGUCACAAAUAGCUUACUAGAUCAGACAGAUGCUCAAAGGGUAUCUCAAGGAAAACUUAACCGUGAUGCACCAAAACAGCAAGCUCACAACCAAAAAAGCACCUCAGUAGUAAGAAAACAUGUCGGAAAAAGUACCUCAG